CUUAGAGAAUAUGAAUAUAAAGAAAAUAUUUUGUGCAGUUGCAUGUGUUUGUGUUUUAACCUGUAUUAGUACAAAAGAGUCAAAAAGUUUCAAAAAACUAAAAAGUUUACAAAGUAAAAAAGCUACUGUAAGCUGAGGUUAGCUUAUUAUUGAAGAAAUUUCUUUUUAUAAACAUAGAGUAGCCUAAGUACACAGUGUUUAUAAAGUGUACAAUAGAGUACAGUCAUGCCGUAGGCCUUCACAUUCACUCGCCACUCACUCACUGACUCACCGAGAGCAACUUCCUCUCCUACAGGCUCCAUUCAUGGUGGAAUCUCAUUCUGUUACCGAGGCUGCAGUGCAGUGGCAUGAUCUCGGCUCACUGCAAGCUCCACCUCCCGAGUUCACGCCAUUCUCCUGCUUCAGCCCCUCGAGUAGCUGGGACUACAGGCGCCCGCCACCACACCCGGCUA
RNAcentral lists this long non-coding RNA (452 nucleotides) under Homo sapiens (human). RNAcentral describes it as "HSALNT0166215". The record is from RNAcentral. Lineage: Eukaryota; Metazoa; Chordata; Mammalia; Primates; Hominidae.